This 622-nucleotide long non-coding RNA is filed under the name Anas platyrhynchos platyrhynchos (common mallard). RNAcentral's name for it is "lncRNA (ENSAPLG00000030246.1)". The record is from RNAcentral. Lineage: Eukaryota; Metazoa; Chordata; Aves; Anseriformes; Anatidae.
CGUAGAUAAUGGACUAGGUCAUAAUUAGUACAUUUGAAGACCACACCAGGCUAAAAGUAGUUGCAUAUACCAGAGGGCAACUUUAGAAUAUAAAAUGGUCUUGACAAACUGAAUAAAUAACCAGACAGAGGAAAAAGAAGGAAAAGAGAGAAAGAAAAUGAAAAGAAGGAAAGAAGAGAUGGAGUACAGAAAAUUAUUCUUGUAGGGCAUGUUCAUCAACAGACUCCAUGUCAACAAUUGAUAUGAAGCUUCAAAUGGACCAGAAAACAGGAUACAGGAGGAAACAAGGUGACCUUAGCUGAAAGGCAGCAAGACACUUAUAUUAGCCAUCAUAUCAGAAACCUUAUGCAGAAUCAAACUGUGUAUCAGAGGCAAGAAAAACAUAGAGCUUCUGGUUAACAAAUAAGGAGGAAAGAAAUACAACAUUAACAAGAACUGGUAAAAAGCAACUUCAUUAGUUGCAAAAUUCUUCGAGAGAGGGAAAACUUUAAAACUGAAGACAAAUGAAAAGAACAAAGUUAGAGAGACUAGACUAUUUCAGGUGAACAAAAUAUUAUUAUACCAUAAACCUAAAUAUUAUUAUACCAUAUACUAAGAAAUUUCUCAUUUUCAUUAAUGACUG